GGAAGUAAAAAGUCGUAACAAGGUCUCCGUAGGCGAACCUGCGGAGGGAUCAUUACUGAGUGAGGGCCCUUGGGCUCGACCUCCAACCCUAUGUUUCUGCCUCGUUGCCUCGGGGGCGACCCGGCCCCGCGUCGGGGCCCCCGGAGGACCCAUCAAAUUCGCGUUGUGAUGCGUCUGAGUGAACGUCUUAAAUGAAGCAAAACUUUCAACAACGGAUCUCUUGGUUCUG
RNAcentral lists this unclassified non-coding RNA (229 nucleotides) under plant metagenome. RNAcentral's name for it is "partial contains small subunit ribosomal RNA, internal transcribed spacer 1, and 5.8S ribosomal RNA". The stretch from base 1 to 55 matches the Rfam family "Eukaryotic small subunit ribosomal RNA", at positions 1778 to 1831 of the family's 1831-position model. The record is from RNAcentral.